This 76-nucleotide transfer RNA is filed under the name Helicobacter pylori. Its description in RNAcentral is "tRNA-Ala". It matches the Rfam family "tRNA". Rfam says of the family: Transfer RNA (tRNA) molecules are approximately 80 nucleotides in length. Lineage: Bacteria; Pseudomonadati; Campylobacterota; Epsilonproteobacteria; Campylobacterales; Helicobacteraceae. The record is from RNAcentral. RNAcentral also lists the same sequence under 560 other names.
GGGGCCGUAGCUCAGCUGGGAGAGCACCUGCUUUGCAAGCAGGGGGUCGUCGGUUCGAUCCCGUCCGGCUCCACCA